CACGAGUUUGAUCCUGGCUCAGAUUGAACGCUGGCGGAAUGCUUUACACAUGCAAGUCGAACGGUAGAGGGGGCAACCCCUUGAGAGUGGCGAACGGGUGAGUAAUAUAUCGGAACGUGCCCAGUCGUGGGGGAUAACGUAGCGAAAGUUACGCUAAUACCGCAUACGAUCUAAGGAUGAAANCGGGGGAUCGCAAGACCUCGCGCGAUUGGAGCGGCCGAUAUCAGAUUAGGUAGUUGGUGAGGUAAAGGCUCACCAAGCCAACGAUCUGUAGCUGGUCUGAGAGGACGACCAGCCACACUGGAACUGAGACACGGUCCAGACUCCUACGGGAGGCAGCAGUGGGGAAUUUUGGACAAUGGACGCAAGUCUGAUCCAGCCAUUCCGCGUGCAGGAUGAAGGCCCUCGGGUUGUAAACUGCUUUUGUACGGAACGAAAAGGUUUGUCUUAAUACGAUGAGCUCAUGACGGUACCGUAAGAAUAAGCACCGGCUAACUACGUG
This 502-nucleotide ribosomal RNA is filed under the name uncultured bacterium. RNAcentral's name for it is "bacterial SSU rRNA". It matches the Rfam family "Bacterial small subunit ribosomal RNA", at positions 1 to 507 of the family's 1533-position model. The record is from RNAcentral.